Molecule: ribosomal RNA, 372 nt
Filed under: uncultured organism
Description: bacterial SSU rRNA
Rfam family: Bacterial small subunit ribosomal RNA
Source: RNAcentral
CAGAGGUCUCAAGCGUUGUUCGGAUUCAUUGGGCGUAAAGGGUGUGUAGGUGGCGCCGUAAGUCGGGUGUGAAAUUUCGGAGCUUAACUCCGAAACUGCAUUCGAUACUGCGGUGCUUGAGGACUGGAGAGGAGACUGGAAUUCAUGGUGUAGCAGUGAAAUGGGUAGAGAUCAUGAGGAAGACCAGUGGCGAAGGCGGGUCUCUGGACAGUUCCUGACACUGAGACACGAAGGCCAGGGGAGCAAACGGGAUUAGAUACCCCGGUAGUCCUGGCAGUAAACGGUGCACGUUUGGUGUGGGAGGAUUCGACCCCUUCUGCGCCGGAGCUAACGCGUUAAACGUGCCGCCUGGGGAGUACGGUCGCAAGAUUA